Molecule: ribosomal RNA, 518 nt
Filed under: uncultured fungus
Lineage: Eukaryota; Fungi
Description: eukaryotic LSU rRNA
Rfam family: 5.8S ribosomal RNA (bases 183-336)
Source: RNAcentral
AAGUCGUAACAAGGUCUCCGUAGGUGAACCUGCGGAGGGAUCAUUACAGAGUUCUCGCCCCACCGGGUAGAUCUCCCACCCACUGUUAUCGUUACCGUCGUUGCUUUGGCGGGCCGCUAGGCUCGCCAGAGGCCCUACAAACUCUGAAUGUCAGUGUCGUCUGAGUACUAUACAAUAGUUAAAACUUUCAACAACGGAUCUCUUGGUUCUGGCAUCGAUGAAGAACGCAGCGAAAUGCGAUAAGUAAUGCGAAUUGCAGAAUUCAGUGAGUCAUCGAAUCUUUGAACGCACAUUGCGCCCUGUGGUAUUCCGCAGGGCAUGCCUGUUCGAGCGUCAUUUCAACCCUCAAGCUCUGCUUGGUGUUGGGCCACGCCCCCGCGGCCGGCCCCAAAGCCAGUGGCGGCGCCGUCCGGCUCUAAGCGUAGUACACCUCUCGCUCUAGGGCCUCGCGGUUGCCUGCCAGAACCCUAUACUCUUAUGGUUGACCUCGGAUCAGGUAGGGAUACCCGCUGAACUUA